This 294-nucleotide ribosomal RNA is filed under the name Triticum aestivum (bread wheat). RNAcentral's name for it is "partial small subunit ribosomal RNA". Lineage: Eukaryota; Viridiplantae; Streptophyta; Magnoliopsida; Poales; Poaceae. The record is from RNAcentral.
AUGGGCAUCGGCAAGUUCGUCAGCUCGAGCACAUUCAGCGUCAGCGGCUACGACUGGAACAUGAGGAUCUACCCUGACGGGUGGAAGGAGGAGGGCAAAGCUGCCUACAUGGCCGUCAGCUUGGGUUUCUGUAGUAAGCCAACAACCGGUGGUGUCAAGGUGAAGUUCACUCUCAGCUUACUAGAGAAAGAUGCAAAGGUCAAUUGUACAUGGAGCGCGGCAUAUACCUUCCAGUCGGUAGGUAAAUACUGUGGGUCUGUGGCUGGGACAAGUUCAUUCACAAGUCCAAGCUGA